This 493-nucleotide ribosomal RNA is filed under the name uncultured bacterium. RNAcentral describes it as "partial 16S ribosomal RNA". It matches the Rfam family "Bacterial small subunit ribosomal RNA", at positions 30 to 523 of the family's 1533-position model. The record is from RNAcentral.
AUUGAACGCUGGCGGCAUGCUUUACACAUGCAAGUCGAACGGUAACAGGUUAAGCUGACGAGUGGCGGACGGGUGAGUAAUGCAUCGGAACGUGCCCGAUCGUGGGGGAUAACGCAGCGAAAGCUGCGCUAAUACCGCAUACGAUCUGAGGAUGAAAGCGGGGGACCGUAAGGCCUCGCGCGAUCGGAGCUGCCGAUGUCAGAUUAGGUAGUUGGUGGGGUAAAGGCCCACCAAGCCGACGAUCUGUAGCUGGGCUGGGAGGACGACCAGCCACACUGGGACUGAGACACGGCCCAGACUCCUACGGGAGGCAGCAAUGGGGAAUUUUGGACAAUGGGCGAAAGCCUGAUCCAGCAAUGCCGCGUGCAGGAAGAAGGCCUUCGGGUUGUAAACUGCUUUUGUACGGAGCGAAAAGGUCCUUUCUAAUACAAGGGGCUCAUGACGGUACCGUAAGAAUAAGCACCGGCUAACUACGUGCCAGCCGCCGCAGUAA